Empidonax traillii (willow flycatcher) is the source of this 133-nucleotide long non-coding RNA. RefSeq lists it as uncharacterized. The record is from RefSeq and is a predicted model, not a curated record. The transcript has 3 exons. NCBI's taxonomy places the organism in Eukaryota, Metazoa, Chordata, Aves, Passeriformes, Tyrannidae.
AGUUGCCUGGGGCACUUCCAGGGAUGGGACAGCCCCAGAUUCUCUGGGCAGCCUGUGCCAGGGCCUCCCCACCCUCCCAGGGAGGAAUUCCUUCCCACCAUCCCACCUAAACCUAACCCAAGGAUUUUAAUUU